UGUCUGCAGUCCGGGGCCGCGGGGUGGGAACCGACUGUGGGCAAAACUCAGUCCAAGUCACAGAGUUUCUAAUGUUACAAGGAAGCAGAGUAAAAGUUCAGCAAGUGCGAUGGGACGUAGAGAGGAAUGAAGGGGUCCAAGAACAGAUUACGCGAGGCGCAGCUGUUCGCUUCCUUUUCAGGAGAAGCGGUGAUGUUUCCUCAGUGAUUUGCCUCUAGUCAGAUAAACACAGCUGGUGGUAAGAGAUUCAUCAGGCUGGGCAGAGCUACACAUCAGCCCGAAAGAGGAAGGCAGGUGCUCUACAGAGGAAAACAAGCCAUGGUGCUCAUCUCAAGGAUUUCAUUUCUCAAACUGAGACAGCGUCAAAACACACUGAAGAUAAUUUAUGGACCACAUAACAAGAACAGAACUGUCUCAGGAGCAGGCCCAGGUACCCCAGGAACUCUGAUCUCCCCACUGCUGUCUCACAGACUGACAACAUGGAACUCAUUCGGUCGUGUGUGAUGUUUUUGUGACACUGGUGGUGCUUUGGUAUUUGAAGUUGUGAGUUCACCUUUACCCAUACUUGGCACUGUUUUUUCCGAGUUCACAGUUUUAGAUCUACCCAAGACUGAAGUUUGGAGAAGUAAACAAUAGCCUUCAAAGGUAACGUGAGUACUGACUGUGAUUUACUUUAGGUAAUCCUUCAGGUGGGCAGUGACCUGCAUCUUUGUGCUGAGAGUGUCUGUUAAGGAGUCCUGUAACUUGCUGUCCUUUAUUGCGCUGCACUGCUGUACCAUUUAUUUAAUAAUGUACUUAUAUAAUGUACUUAUAAGUACAUUAAUAAUGUACUUAAAUAUCUGAAUCUUGAAAUUUGUUGCCUGAUUCUGUAGCAUUCAUCCUUCUCAUCCAGUGAAACUAUCCGCUCUCCUCAAGUGAGAAAGACAUAAAAUUACUUUGUAUUUUUCCUUCAUCUGAGACUUCAGUUUCUACAAAAAUCUGAAGGCUACUUCUGAGGGUAACAGCUGUGCUAUUUUGUUUUCUGUUAUCAGUGUUUCUUUUUUAUUAAUGUUUAUGUUAUUUCUCAGUUAACGUGGCAGCCUAACAUUUAGGUAGAAGAGAAUCUGAUUUUACUUAGAAGGCAUUUUAUUUAUUUGAGGCUAUUCUAGAUGUCUUGUUUAAGGGAUGUAUCACAACUUAACUGAUGACCUCAUCCUCCUUCUGUGCAAUUACACUUCUACGUAACAAAGAGAUGGCCAUAUUUAUCCAAGGGAAAUGGAAUUACAUAAUAGAGAAUUAAGCUUGUCAAAAUAGUAUAUAAAUGAUGUAUAGUAUAUAGCAUAUAAAUACUUUUGCCUGGUAAGUAGAGAGAUUUCCAAUGUGUUCUGAAAAUUUGGUCCUUGGACCGAGGCAAAAAAUGAUCACCUCAAGGUAAAAUACAAGUCUCUAGUCCUUUUAAAAAAUAGUAGUUACGUAUAAAUGGGUGAUCAUGUUAGAACUCCUUGCUUUGAUUAAUCUUAUGAAUUAAAUUUAUCAGCUGCAAAAUUUGCUGCAUCAGGAUUUUCACAAUGAUCCCCCCUCGAAGAGAUGGCAUCUAAUGUACUAAAGUGAAGGCUGAUAUCAAAAGAGUUUGAAGCUCCGUUUAAAGUGCUAAUCAGAGGUAUGUCUGCAACCAACAACUGCUCUUACAGUACGUCUGGCUUGGCUUGUGGUAAUGCUGCAUAAUGAUUUAUAGCGAGAGCUUUAUAAAACCUCUCUCGUACAGAAAAGACUUCAAGGGAGCGGGUGAGGCUUCUUUACUUAGUUCCUUUCAGUGGUUCAGCACUCUGCAGAGGCCUUCUAAAAUGCCAUGGAUAUUAACAUAUACACAAGCACAGCUGGGAUGCAAUUUUUCUCCUGGCAUCUUUCUCUUCGUGGCACCUUUCAUUCAGAUAUAAACAGGUACCAGGAAAAUACUAACAAGUAUAUUUUUGAAGAAAUAAAGUCUUGAACUAAGGUCUUCAAGAGUGCCAGCAUUUUUAUUCUUCAAUUCUGAGUACAUGUGAGGCUGAUUAGGAACUCUAAAUACAGAAAGGUGCAUGCUAAAUGCAGUAGAUCUUUAGUAUAACUUGUUUAGAUACUCUCUUUAUUAAAGCAGCAUUAUUUCUGUCCAAAUUGAAAUGCUUUAAAAAAAUAUGCAGAGUUGAUCUGUUUGAAGAAAAGUUAAUAAAGCAUUAAAAAAAACAACAUAUACACAAAAACCAUCAAUAACUGCACAACAAAUUUUAUUUCGCACAUCCAGGAAGGAAUGUUUGGAACACUCAAAAAUUAAUAAAAUGUGAAUUGCUGUACUUAAUCUAAAGAAGAUUGAACUCUGAAUGAAACUUUGUUGCAACUGCAGCAAAAUAGAAUUUAAGUUGAAAUUGGAAAAAACUGACAACUUGAAAUGUCCUUUGAAAUAGAAAAUCCAAUUCCAGGACAGGUCUGAUUAUGGUUUCCUAUGACUAAAUAAUUUUGAUUAUUUUUAAGAGAGAGAAAAGUCAACUCACAAAUGCAAGUGUUGUAUUAAAAAUCUUAGACUAAUUAUUCUUUAGCAAAGCACAAAAUUCUCCAUUACCUGAAGUAUACCUGAAGUAUAGAUUGCUCUUCUUUUGCUGACGUCUGAGAACUUUUUAGUUCCAGUUGACCUCUGUAUGUUUUAAAUGUGGUAUUACCUUUGGAACAAAGAAAUCAUGUCAGACAAGCUGUUAGGAUGUCUGGACACAUCUCCAUACAUCACCACAACAUGUUAUGCCAUAGGUCCCACUGGAAGCUGGAAAGUGAUAGAAAGCUGGGAAAUUCUAUUAUUAGAAAGAACACCUACGUAAAUGGAAGAAAUGCUGGUGGAUGCAGAUGUCAUUAAUUUAAAGGAAGCUGAGCCCGUUCAUUAGCUCUUUCUUCUGUGUGGGAAACUACCACAUAAAAUAAAGAAGACUAGUCAUGCACUGCAAGUAGUUGCUAUGUAAUAAGCAUUGACUGCACUGUUCUUUGAAUGUAACAACUAUCUGGUGGCUGAUUUUCUUUUUUUUUCUCCAAGGUUUUUGAUCUGUUUCCUGUAGAAGCAGAUUCCUUGUGCCACAUUCAUGCGUUUCCCAUCACUUUGUAGGCUGAAGAAGAAAUCCAGUCUGCCAAAUUAAUUAGCUAGAAUUCUCCUACGUAGGCGACUUUGUAGGAGUGUGUAGACCUUAGAGGACUGUUUGUCACCAAAUGAACGUGUCUGUGCUAGUUCAGAAUCCCCUUCAAGCUAUGUCUGAAAUAUUUUUCUGUUCAAAUGAGUUAUUCCUUCUCGUGGGUGUAAUGAAGAAUCUUGUCCUACAUCUUCAUUUGUAUAUACUAGGUUCAUGACAGAGCAACUUAGUCAUAUGAAAGAAUGCAGAUAUCACCUCCCUUCUAUACUGUGUAAACCAGUGUGAGUACUGGAGCUGUGCAACUAACAGACAAGUAGAACCAGGUCUGUGAGGUCUACCAAAACAAGUAGGUUGUGAAGUCUGCAUAGUCAAGUUAAAAAUCUAAUCUGUCUGUAUGGAUACUUAAUCAUGGACAUACAAGUUCACAUUCAAGUUAACCUUAAUUACACCUCUCAGCUCUUCCACCUAAAUGAACAAUACUUUGAUGAAUGUUGCUUUGUUUUUUUAAUAAUUAUCCUCCCAUUAUACAGCAACUGAAUAUUCCUAUUCUACUUAUUGGCUUUUGUGCAUAGAAGAGGUACACUGAAAACUAAAUAUAUCCAAUAUUAAUUAAAAUAUGUAUCUAAGAAGGACAGCAAGACAAUUCUUCUUUACAGCUUGAUGAUAAGAUUUGUCUAUGCAUGAAAAAAACUCAGCCAGUCAACGUCUUCUACUUCAAUUUCAGAUUUAUGUUUACAUCUGUGAAAAUGAGUAACGAUUGCCUCCUGCAUUUUACA
This is a non-coding RNA of Meleagris gallopavo (turkey), 3901 nucleotides long. NCBI's taxonomy places the organism in Eukaryota, Metazoa, Chordata, Aves, Galliformes, Phasianidae. The record is from RefSeq and is a predicted model, not a curated record.